ACAGACUUUACAAGCUCUGAACAGUUGCACAACAAAGGGUAAAAUGAUCCAUUACAGACCGAAAAUCUCUCGCACGUGUCCACAUGACACAACCUUUAUUUACAAGCCUAAAGAGGCCACCAACCCUACUAAAAUAGGACUAUAAGCCUUCGGCCGCCCCUCUACAUGUUGUACAAGGCAUGAACAUGCCAAAAGACACGGACACACAUAAGCAUUACAUCAAACAUCUUGUUUAGAAGUUUGUUCGUGACAG
RNAcentral lists this long non-coding RNA (253 nucleotides) under Musa acuminata (dwarf banana). Its description in RNAcentral is "long non-coding RNA (MACU_LNC009239)". Lineage: Eukaryota; Viridiplantae; Streptophyta; Magnoliopsida; Zingiberales; Musaceae. The record is from RNAcentral.